RNAcentral lists this ribosomal RNA (448 nucleotides) under uncultured bacterium. RNAcentral describes it as "bacterial SSU rRNA". It matches the Rfam family "Bacterial small subunit ribosomal RNA", at positions 330 to 793 of the family's 1533-position model. The record is from RNAcentral.
UCCAGACUCCUACGGGAGGCAGCAGUGGGGAAUAUUGGGCAAUGGGCGCAAGCCUGACCCAGCAACGCCGCGUGAAGGAAGAAGGCUUUCGGGUUGUAAACUUCUUUUGACAGGGAAGAGUAGAAGACGGUACCUGUCGAAUAAGCCACGGCUAACUACGUGCCAGCAGCCGCGGUAAUACGUAGGUGGCAAGCGUUGUCCGGAUUUACUGGGUGUAAAGGGCGUGUAGCCGGGUUGACAAGUCAGAUGUGAAGUCCUGCGGCUUAACCGCAGAACUGCAUUUGAAACUGUUGAUCUUGAGUACUGGAGAGGCAGACGGAAUUCCUUGUGUAGCGGUGAAAUGCGUAGAUAUAAGGAAGAACACCAGUGGCGAAGGCGGAUGACUGGACGGCAACUGACGGUGAGGCGCGAAAGCGUGGGGAGCAAACAGGAUUAGAUACCCUUGUAC